Molecule: long non-coding RNA, 2516 nt
Filed under: Triticum aestivum (bread wheat)
Lineage: Eukaryota; Viridiplantae; Streptophyta; Magnoliopsida; Poales; Poaceae
Description: long non-coding RNA (TAES_LNC006879)
Source: RNAcentral
CCUGAUUGUUGCUCUCCUGUUGCCGUUGCCGAGCACAGGGGGUGGUCGCCGGCGGCUCCAUUCUCGACCCAGCUGCUGCCCUGCAUGCAGCCACCCUUGGAGACCACCCGCCACCACGACCGUCGUUGUCCAUCCCCUACAUCGACGGUGCUCAAGCGGCUCUUCUCACUGGCUCCUACGACUCCCUCAUUCGCCAUGGAUACAACCAUCAUGUACUGCAGUGUUCCUUUGCAAGUUCAAUCUGUAUCAUAGCACGAGUUCAGAAGUUUCAUUUUGUGAAGAAGCAUGCAAAUUCUCAGUGCAGGUGUGGAGAACCAAAAAGUUAUAAUAAUGGUGAAUCAGAAGUUCAAGCAUAGUAAUCUGGGGGCGUGGGGGCAACUGCUGAUAGAGACCGAGUCAAAGUGUCGUGACUGCUGAUGCAGAUCUUCAGCAUGGACUUUGAUGGAGAUACUCCUCUAAUGGUAAUGCCCAUCUGCAUUUGAAUUAACAAAAAAAGUUACAUAAUUUUGGUUACUCUAUACUUGUAAGAUCUUCAGUUCCACGGAUAUUUGUACUACUACACUUUGAACUGAUGGAAAAUUACAGUCCUACUUCCAGAAGAUAUGAGUGAGAUGCGAUGGGACCUGACCAGAUGCUGAUGUUGGACUAGAAAAUUUAGUGAAAAACUAUUCUGUACUAAAAGAACAACUAUGCUUUGUCGGACAAGCACAAUACGAGGUAAUGGAAAGCUCCAAUGCCCACCUACAAUAUAUUUUGUCCUGAGAAAAAAUUACACAAGAGUGCUAGGAUGUUCAAAUAAAAAUAGUACACACGUGUGGUGUCGUUUAUAUAAUUUUGUAAAGAAGAUCUAUAUGUGUAAGUUAUCUGAUAAAAGAAAGAAGAAAAUCAACUUGCAAAUUUAGGGAAACAUGUGUACCUUGAGAGAAGUUCAUAGAAUAAAUGCUAGGAGGUUCAUUUGAUGUUCGUUUAAGAUGUCCUCAAUGCAAGUUGGAGGGCUGGUAAGUUCUACUACUAGUCUACGCCAAGUGCCAAGUUCAGGGGCAUUGCCCACUGAUGGCGAGGACAACGAGCCAACGACGUCGGAUCAUAGGUCGAAGAGGUGUUUCUAUGUUCCUAUAGCAUGAACAGGUGCUUGUUGUUAUGCCUGAUAAUGAUGUUGUACACAAAUGGCUUAUGGGAUAUCAGGGUAAUGUGCAUACAAAUGAUUUUAGGUUAAUAUUAUUUGAUUUGACUACAGUACACGAAGCCUCUACCUAUGUAGGAUGUAAGAGGGUUGACGGAUCCAUGCCGCACAAGCACUGGUGCUCUGCUUUCUUCUUACUUUGUGUUCUAAUUUGCUUUCUUCUUAUUUUCAGCUUGCGAGAAACAAAAAGAAGUUAAAAAAAUGUUGUGCCCGGAGUUCAUAUUAUUUGCUACCCCGUGAUGUACGUCUCUAAUUUCUCCCUCCAAAUGUGUUGGCCCAUGUGGUUGCAUUUUCUAUUUUUUUUCGUUUUGGAUAUACAAAAAAGGUUAUUGAAGCUCAAAUGUGAUAAGCACAUAAGUUCAGAUUUCCAAUGCUACAAAGUUCACGUAUACCUCUCUGUUUUAAUCGUGGCAUACAAAUUUUGCACUACGAGAAAGUUCAGAGGCAAGAGCGUAGAAAAUAAAGAACACAAAAAUAUCAACAAAAAAUUCACUAGGAGAAAAGUUAGUCAGGAUAUGCAAGAAAAACUCUUAUUUUAUUUCAUUUCAAAUUCAAAUUCUAGUUAAGUUUCAUUUCUUAUUUUAAUUUAGUCAAGUUUCUUAUUUUAGUUUAGUUCAAUAUCUAAUUUUUGUUCAGUUCAAUUCUUAUUUUAGAAAAAAAUGAAUUGUUUCUUUAUCUACAUUCUUCUAUUCAACAUCGGGGAGAAGGUGCCUCAUGGUAAAAGCGUGCCAAGAUUUUCUAAGUACCCCAGGCCCAUCCUGUCCUCUAUACAGAUUCUAGAGUUUAACACAUCAAAUGGAAGUUUGUUCUCAAAACUGAAAUUGUUCUGCAUGUACUGAUAGAUUAGUUGUUAACUAUUGGAGUGUUUCGUUCUUGCAGAAUAAAAAUAAGAUGUAUGCAUUGCUUCUUGGCCCAGCUUGAGAGAACCCUCAUGUUAAAAAGUAUAAAGCAGUUUUGGUAGCUCAGGCUUCUUUAUGUUUUGGAGAUCUACAGAGUGACUAUCUGAGAGCUGUGCUGGACUUUCUCAUUACAGCAUGGAACUUCUCUAGAAAUCCCAGUUGAUUUUUAAUGUUUGUUCCUCAUCACUUCUAAAAAUCUUAGAGCAUCCAUCCAACUAUGUAUCAGGAUAUACUAUGUUGUAAAUUUAUGUAUGCUUGUAUGUGCAAAAAUAUAUUACGGUUGUUGCUUCUAUUUCUUGUGGUGAGGAUGUUGUAAGUUCAACACGACGUCCCAGAUAAUCUAGGAAAUAAUCUCAAACAAAAAGAAACCCCACGGAAAUUCAAAUGAUAAAAGUUCAUGUUGUAAAAUGAGAGAAGUCCAAAACAUAAUUGCA